CAUCUCGUUUACACCGAGAGGGUCAUAGGUUCGAGUCCUUUACCGCCCACCA
This 52-nucleotide transfer RNA is filed under the name Afipia sp. Its description in RNAcentral is "tRNA-Ser". It matches the Rfam family "tRNA", at positions 24 to 71 of the family's 71-position model. From Rfam's summary of the family: Transfer RNA (tRNA) molecules are approximately 80 nucleotides in length. Their secondary structure includes four short double-helical elements and three loops (D, anti-codon, and T loops). The record is from RNAcentral. Lineage: Bacteria; Pseudomonadati; Pseudomonadota; Alphaproteobacteria; Hyphomicrobiales; Nitrobacteraceae.